UACGUAGGUGGCAAGCGUUGUCCGGAAUUAUUGGGCGUAAAGCGCGCGCAGGCGGUCCUUUAAGUCUGAUGUGAAAGCCCACGGCUCAACCGUGGAGGGUCAUUGGAAACUGGAGGACUUGAGUACAGAAGAGGAAAGCGGAAUUCCACGUGUAGCGGUGAAAUGCGUAGAGAUGUGGAGGAACACCAGUGGCGAAGGCGGCUUUCUGGACCGAGACUGACGCUGAGGCGCGAAAGCGUGGGGAGCAAACGGG
RNAcentral lists this ribosomal RNA (253 nucleotides) under uncultured bacterium. Its description in RNAcentral is "partial 16S ribosomal RNA". It matches the Rfam family "Bacterial small subunit ribosomal RNA", at positions 524 to 776 of the family's 1533-position model. The record is from RNAcentral.